RNAcentral lists this ribosomal RNA (253 nucleotides) under uncultured bacterium. RNAcentral describes it as "partial 16S ribosomal RNA". It matches the Rfam family "Bacterial small subunit ribosomal RNA", at positions 524 to 776 of the family's 1533-position model. The record is from RNAcentral.
UACGGAGGAUGCAAGCGUUAUCCGGAAUGAUUGGGCGUAAAGGGCUCGUAGGCGGUCUGUCGCGUCGGGAGUGAAAACUUACAGCUUAACUGUGAGCGUGCUUCCGAUACGGGCAGACUUGAGGUAUUCAGGGGAGAACGGAAUUCCUGGUGUAGCGGUGAAAUGCGCAGAUAUCAGGAGGAACACCGGUGGCGAAGGCGGUUCUCUGGGAAUAUCCUGACGCUGAGGAGCGAAAGUGUGGGGAGCGAACAGG